GAAAAUAGAGGCGCGGAACAGUAAACAGCAGUAAACGGCAGAGAAUAUACGACAUCCGAGGAACCGUAAAGUAAACUGAGAAAAACAUCACGCUCGGCCGGCCGGCCGGCCGUCACUCACCUGAGCGCAGUAACGUGUGCCUUAAAUUUGAUACUUUCCGUAAGCUGCUAUCCUCCCGACCUCGAGAUGUCAUUAUCGUUUCCCCGGGGGAUAUAGAGAAACUUGAUUAUGUGCUUUAUAUCGAAAUUCGGACGCGUUGGACAUGUUACAUGGGGAGAAUAUUAGUUUUGUUUUCUUUUAUAUAAAUUCUUUUCGAUUUUACUAUGUUUCCCUAGACUGAGAGAAAAAAUAUAUAAAAAAUAAGAAAUAUUUAUUCAGGUACUAUAUAGUAACAUAUUUGUUUAUACUAAUAUAUAAUAUAAUAUUUACUUAUACUAAUUUUUUAUAGUAAAAAUUGUUAUAGAAUUAUGUAACUAAGGAACAUAUCGAUAUUUUGCCUUGAUUUAUUAACAUUCGUUUUACAUGUAUUAUUUGUAUUUUAAGAACUGAAAUCUGCUGUUACAAAAUUUGUUAUGUUCCUUAUGAUAAAUUCUAUUGACAAUCUAUUUUUGCACUACUAGGAAACAUGGCAAAAUGGGAAAUAAUUUAUAUGAAAAGAAGCUAUAUAAAAAAGCUAUAUUCUCUUUGUGUACACAGGCUGUUGCUCGUACAAGCAUUGAUGCAAAAAAUGAGCGAAAACCUUAAGGUUAUCACAGUCGGACAAAGAUUUAUAAUUUGCCCAAAUAUGUGUUUAUGACCUGAAACCGAACUGUUGGGAAGAAAGGCGCAAAAAGGAGCUCUCAAAUAAAGGAUUUCGAAUAUCUAAGGCUGUGGCACGUAACAGUCUAUGCAUCCGCCUCUGCGGGCCCAUUACUGCGAGGUAUUAUCGUCGAUAUUCUCGACUAUCGACUUGGAUCUUCGAAUCCGUCCUGCGCAACGUCGCCCACGCUCGCUCAUCGAAGCUCGCGCGUGUCUUUCUCGUUGACGUCUGCGAGACGUCGAACGCGACUUUGGGAAAGCCGGUGGUGCGUGUACGCGCCAACAGCGAGGGCAGAACCUAUACAAUCGAUAGUGCGGUGAAGAGUCCGCCGCCGAGCGAAUGCAUUCGCGUUGUGUGUUUAUGCCAGCGCGUACUCGCGGUGGGAGGAACAGGACGAAGAGGUAAGACGACGACAUUUAUUGUAUUCUAAGAACAAUUCUCAAGAGAGUACGAGUGGCACGCGACGAAUGGAACGCAAAGAGCACGAUUGGAUCAAAAUACGAAGAUGAAACGAUAUAGCGCGCAUUAAAAAGAGAUAGGGGAGCGGGAUUGAGCAGACGAUAGAAAAAUAAAGAGAGAAAAAGAGUAAGGAAGAAAUAUUUUCUGUAUGUCCUCUGAACAGCAAGUGACACACGGUGAGAAUAGCGCACAAUCGAGAGCAGAAAUAUUAAACUUAAAUGUAUACUACAUAAAUACAACAGCGGGGCGAUAAAAGAAAGAACGAGUCCGAGGAGCUACUGGGAGAUCGAGUGAGGGAGCGAGUGAGAGAAAGAGAUACUGCAAAGUGAGUGAGUGAGAGAGAAAGAAAGAGAGAGAGAGAGAGAGAGAGAGAGAGAGAGAGCAAGAGGAGAGACGCAAGAGCGGACCAAAGGAGAGACGGACUCGUUCGAGCCGAACGCGCUUCUCUCUUAUGACCGGAGCGGAGAUAGAUAGACGGAGAGAAAGAGACGUCGGAGAAGGACACGGCGAGAGGACCGCGGCGUGCACUCGGUGUCCCCUCCCCACGAGGAACACGGCGUGCACGUGCAUCAGGGCGUGCGCGCGUGUGUGCGUGUACAAAGUAGGUCCACGGAGCGGAGGAGAGACGGCGAAUGAAUAUCGCCGUCCCCUCGCGGCUGGUGCGACCAAUCCGCGCCAAGCGCGAGCUGCGUGAAGGCGGAACGCGGUACUCUUCGCGUAUAUCCGCGUAUUUAUUAUUCAGUUUGCAAAUACGUGGCAAAAAUGAUCUCUCUCUGGCGCGCUCGCUCGCUCGCACGCUCGCCCGCAUCGCCGGCUGGAUCUCGCGCGGCCGCGCACCUCUCUCUCCCGCAGCACGGCCCGCGGAGCCGGGAGGUGGAGCCAGAAGGCAGAAGGAGCAGGGCAACGACGAGAUAUCGGCCGUUAAUUUGUUAGAAACGCCACCGGCACGGCCGAUUGCGCCGCGCACGCCUGCCUGCGUGCGUGCGUGCGUGCGUGUGCACGCGCUCCUUAUGUAUUACGCGACGAAGCGCAGUGGCCGGCCCCAUUUGGGGGACCUCGUCGCGAUCUCGCGAUGUCGGUAAUGUUAGACGACGAAUGGGUGAUCGAUUGGUGUUGACGCGAGAGAGUUCCGGGGCCGUACUCCUCACGCAUUUCGCUGGUACGCCCUUUUUCUUCCAAGUUUCGUUUGUCCUACACGAGCGUCCCGUAUAAGGUCGUUUGACUUGGGAAUCAGAAAGACGUACUUGGUGUUUGAAUAUAGAUAGAAUAUUAUGGUUUUUUUAUAUAUAAAUGUUUAUAUAAAUUUUUUUCAACUUUGCUAUGUUUUUAGUAAUCCAUAAAAAAGUUUCGUUGAAUUGUUGUAGGAUAUUAAAGGAUAGAUUAUGAUGAAGAUGCUAAAGGGUCGGGUAGUAACAAUACAAAAUGUAAUAGUAAAUAGGUAAGUUGGAAUAAGAUAAAGUAGAUUGAUUAAUGUAAUGAGCAUGAUGAUAGUAACGAGUAAAAGAGUGGAAACUUAAAUAACGAAAUGUAUAGACUGUAACUAUUAUGAUACUAGGAUGAGAAUAUAGAUAGAAAAAAGUUUACUAUUAGGUGUGGGCAGAUAAGUGUGAUUAAGACAAUUUUUGUAAACCAAGUCCUCUUCUUGACAGUAGCUAAAGUAAUAAAUAUAAAUAAUAAUAAAUAUUUCUCAUCACCAAGUUUCGUUAGCAAAUUUCUAGUCAAAUAUGAACGGACCAGAAAAUUUCGUUGAAGUUACCAGAAUUCUAUUCAAGUUAGCAAAAUUUCUGGUAACAUCAACCGGAAUUUUCUGGUUUGUUCACAUUUUAGAGAAAUUAGUCAAUUCGACAAAACUUUGUUCUCCGCACAAGAAGAGAAAUGGUCCAGGACUGUUAGUAAGAUCUAUCUUGCUAAGGAAUAUUACGCUAGAAAUACAAUGUUUUAAUAGCACACAUAUUUCGAUUUCUAAAAUAUAACUACUACAUGUGAGGUGAAAAGACAGUAAAUUAUUGCAGAAUGUCGAUAUAUCCCUCGAUCGCAAAAUUCUAUAGUAACCUUUACUGUAAAAUUCUCUCCGUGUGCUUCCUCUGCUGAUGAUGCUAAUUUUACACGAAAAUAUCGCGUGUUCGAUCAGCUGCUCGCGCGAUCAACUCUUUUUUAAUUCGAGGCCUUUUCAUUAACGCCGGUGCACGCAACCCGCGGGUAACGUCGUGUUUAAUUAGUUGUGCGUCAAAAAACAACGGCGGAGCAGAGAGAAAUCGCGCCGCCGGCGCGUUCGAACGGAAAAAGGAGCAGCGUCGCUCCUCUAUGCAAAACACAGUAUCCCCCGUUUUUCUACGAACGCGUGUACUCGCACCAUGGUCAGUUACACCUUCCCACCGUGUGUUCUCCGCACGCCGCAUAACAUUUCCGCACUUUACGCUCGCGGCCGAUAUCAUCUCACUUCUUUCGCUCGCGCGAGUUCUUUGAAGUUCGCCUGCGCCCGUAUCCCGGAUUCCAUGGAAACACGCAAUUUAAUUGCUCGAUCGUAAUUACAAAAUUGCGAUAGCUCGCUCGAUCAUCGCGUGUCGUUAAUUCUGAUCUCGCUUAACGUCGGGAUGCGCGCGUGCUUAUACGCGUACGAAAUUCAUUCGCGAUGAACGUGGGAGAGUCGAUGCAGGACGCGGAAAUAUCAAGGAAAUGUCGCUCGGCAAGUGAUACGGUCCAGCACUGGUCAGACAUACGCGAAAUUCAAGCUGCGCGGACUCGUAUGAGAGACACCCGUUCGCGCUGUUAUCCCGGAUCCUUGUUAGGAGAUAUUCGACGAAGAGGCCGUCUUGGCCACCGAAUUCUUGAGAUUAAUAAGACUGGAGAAGAAAAAGGAUUCAGAAUUUCAAUUUCUGGAAAUACAUGAAGUAUAUCCCUAAUUCCGAACUGUUGAUAGAUAACUGAGAUAUUCGACGAAGAGAUCGACUUGAUCAUCGAAUUUCCGAGAUUAACAAGACUUGGAGGAGAAUUUUGUUUCAAUUUUUCAAAAUGCAGAAAAUAUAUCGAUUAUUCCGGAUUGCAUACAUUGAGAAAAAACAUGGAAAUUUAUUUGUGAGAUUUAAUAAAUUAAUUUUCAUUUCUGCAUAAACUUCAACAAUUUCGAGUGUAAAUUAACCUGUCAGAUGCUGUCAAUUAAAGUAAAUAUUUUAUAUGAAAAAAAUUAUUAUUCAUAUGGAAAAAAAAUCUUUCUAUUCCUACAAUCAAGUUUCUCAUCUGGUCCUCAAAAAACAGGAAAUUCAGUGACACUAACAGAGUGGUUUUUUCCGCGUGGAGAUGAAACGAUUACGGGCGCUGGUGCAAUUUUUGAUCUGUCGAGAUUGAUAUGCAGUUAACACUCGGAAUACUGAAUUACAAGGUGCGACAAAGAACCGCGCCAGU
Long non-coding RNA from Odontomachus brunneus, 4660 nucleotides. RefSeq lists it as uncharacterized. The record is from RefSeq and is a predicted model, not a curated record. NCBI's taxonomy places the organism in Eukaryota, Metazoa, Arthropoda, Insecta, Hymenoptera, Formicidae. The transcript is spliced from 3 exons.